Molecule: long non-coding RNA, 1236 nt
Organism: Alexandromys fortis (reed vole)
Lineage: Eukaryota; Metazoa; Chordata; Mammalia; Rodentia; Cricetidae
Exons: 3
Source: RefSeq, a predicted model, not a curated record
CCCAACACAAAGUAGAAUUUAAGUAUUCUAUUUUUCUAAAUAUUUAUCUUAAAUAUUAUUCACAUUCACGAUUGUUAUAGCUGUGGGCGCCUGGUCUCCCUUAUUCCUGGGGUGCGUUGGCCGGGACAGAUUGUUAUCAGUUAACUAACCUUCCUGUGUGUUUCCGUGCUAUCCCUGCCCCACCUGGUGAUUUAGCUGCAGGCAAUCUUCUCCAUUGUUAAUAUGUUAAUUUACCACCUCCCUGGGCAGAGAGAUCUUUGUGCUGCAGUUAGGUAGAAAAAGGCUUCCUCAAGUCUGAAUAAACAUAAAUGGCAUUCGCUUGAUCUCCUGUCGCUUGAUCUCCUGUCGAAUGACCCUGGUCUCUGUGUCUUGUGUUCAAUCUCCAGGCACUUGCCCGGACUCGCAUUCGGUACAGCUGUGCACGAACUGUACCGGGGGGUGUAACACCGAAAUCGGGUGUUACAAUUGGAGACUCAGCUGGGAUGAUCUUCGGCAACUAGACCCAUCUGCGAGAUCGAGAAGUAGGGAAUCCCUGAGAGGUAGCCCUCGGGAAGACUGGCCUGCAAGGUCUGAGCAGCUGGGAACAAACAAGCAGCCACCCCCAUCCAGUCCUCAGUGAAGGAUAUUUGAGAAUUCAAGAAACUAGACAACAACAAAGCAAAUAAUCCGAUUAUAACGGGGAGCAACCUCUGAACAGAAUUCUCAGUAAAAGAAUCCAAAGUCACUGAGAAACACUUGAAGACGCGUACAACAUCUUUAGCCAUCAGGGAAAAUUAAUAUCAGAACGACUUUGAGAUUUCAUCUUACACUUGUUAGAUUGUUAAGAUCCAUAAUACAAGUGACAGCCAAUGCUGGCAAGGACAUGUGCAAGUGCAAGUGACAGCCAAUGUGGAAAUCAACACGCAGUCCUCAGGAAUUUGUGAAUCAAUCUACCGCAAGACGCAGCUGUACCACUCUUGGACAUAUAUACAAAAGAUCCUACCAUAAGGACCUUUGCUCAACUGUUCAUGGUAUUCUUUUUUUUUUUUUAAUAUUUAUUUAUUAUGUAUACAAUAUUCUGUCUGUGUGUAUGCCUGCAGCCAGAAGAGGGCGCCAGACCCCGUUACAGAUGGUUGUGAGCCACCAUGUGGUUGCCAGGAUUUGAACUCAGGACCUCUGGAAGAGCAGCCAGUGCUCUAACCACUGAGCCAUCUCUCCAGCCCUGUCUGAGGUAUUCUUAUAUUAACGUAUACGCAU